GCGGGGGUUGCCUAGCCAGGUCAACGGCGCGAGGCUUAGGACCUCGUCUCUCAGGAGUUCGUGGGUUCGAAUCCCACCCCCCGCA
This 85-nucleotide transfer RNA is filed under the name Nitrososphaerota archaeon. Its description in RNAcentral is "Thaumarchaeota archaeon tRNA-Leu". It matches the Rfam family "tRNA". Rfam says of the family: Transfer RNA (tRNA) molecules are approximately 80 nucleotides in length. RNAcentral also lists the same sequence under 2 other names. Lineage: Archaea; Thermoproteati; Nitrososphaerota. The record is from RNAcentral.